This 86-nucleotide transfer RNA is filed under the name Bacteroidota bacterium. RNAcentral's name for it is "Bacteroidetes bacterium (grounwater metagenome) tRNA-Leu". It matches the Rfam family "tRNA". From Rfam's summary of the family: Transfer RNA (tRNA) molecules are approximately 80 nucleotides in length. Their secondary structure includes four short double-helical elements and three loops (D, anti-codon, and T loops). Lineage: Bacteria; Pseudomonadati; Bacteroidota. The record is from RNAcentral.
GCUCGAGUGGCGGAACUGGUAGACGCGCUGGACUUAAAAUCCAGUAAACAGAAAUGUUUGUAUGGGUUCAAGUCCCAUCUCGAGUA